GAGCAAAAACAAUUUUUUAUCUUAUUAACUUUCUUUAUUUCAGGUAUUUGAUACAGCCAUGGAACACAGACUAAUAUAAUGCCCAAUAAACCAAAAACAUGAUAUCUAAGAACUUACAGAACAAGAAAAGAUGGGGGUGGACUCAGAACUCACUAAACAUUAUUAAAAUGUUUUCCCUUCCCCUUUUCUCAAUUCUUUUGCUUUGUAUGUUUGCUGACCAUAUUUUUCCACAUAGCCACGUAUGCCCACAGAAACUUCAAUUUAUAUCUGUUGGCUGAGCAAACAUGAACACAAGAAUUUCCUUCCUUGUAGUCAUACCAGGAAAUCUUAAAAGCACUCCCUGAGGAAUCACAGGGAAAAUUUGAGUUUGCUAGGUUACUCGUGUCGAUUCUUGAGUCCAAGGAGAAGGUAUUUUAUCCACCAGAGUCAUGUGGAGUGAGAAGGGGUUAAUCACUCUCCUCUAACAAUUGUAGGGGUUAACUUUAUUAAUUCA
RNAcentral lists this long non-coding RNA (493 nucleotides) under Marmota monax (woodchuck). Lineage: Eukaryota; Metazoa; Chordata; Mammalia; Rodentia; Sciuridae. The record is from RNAcentral.